This 496-nucleotide ribosomal RNA is filed under the name uncultured bacterium. Its description in RNAcentral is "partial 16S ribosomal RNA". It matches the Rfam family "Bacterial small subunit ribosomal RNA", at positions 28 to 506 of the family's 1533-position model. The record is from RNAcentral.
GAUGAACGCUGGCGGCGUGCCUAAUACAUGCAAGUCGAGCGAACGGACGAGAAGCUUGCUUUUCUGAUGUUAGCGGCGGACGGGUGAGUAACACGUGGAUAACCUACCUAUAAGACUGGGAUAACUUCGGGAAACCGGAGCUAAUACCGGAUAAUAUUUUGAACCGCAUGGUUCAAAAGUGAAAGACGGUCUUGCUGUCACUUAUAGAUGGAUCCGCGCUGCAUUAGCUAGUUGGUAAGGUAACGGCUUACCAAGGCAACGAUGCAUAGCCGACCUGAGAGGGGGAUCGGCCACACUGGAACUGAGACACGGUCCAGACUCCUACGGGAGGCAGCAGUAGGGAAUCUUCCGCAAUGGGCGAAAGCCUGACGGAGCAACGCCGCGUGAGUGAUGAAGGUCUUCGGAUCGUAAAACGAUGUUAUUAGGGAAGAACAUAUGUGUAAGUAACUGUGCACAUCUUGACGGUACCUAAGCAGAAAGCCACGGCUAACUACGU